CGAAAGGUGCUUGCACCUUUCAAGUGAGUGGCGAACGUAGUGAGUAACACGUGGACAACCUGCCUCAAGGCUGGGGAUAACAUUUGGAAACAGAUGCUAAUACCGAAUAAAACUUAGUGUCGCAUGACAAAAAGUUAAAAGGCGCUUCGGCGUCACCUAGAGAUGGAUCCGCGGUGCAUUAGUUAGUUGGUGGGGUAAAGGCCUACCAAGACAAUGAUGCAUAGCCGAGUUGAGAGACUGAUCGGCCACAUUGGGACUGAGACACGGCCCAAACUCCUACGGGAGGCUGCAGUAGGGAAUCUUCCACAAUGGGCGAAAGCCUGAUGGAGCAACGCCGCGUGUGUGAUGAAGGCUUUCGGGUCGUAAAGCACUGUUGUAUGGGAAGAACAGCUAGAAUAGGAAAUGAUUUUAGUUUGACGGUACCAUACCAGAAAGGGACGGCUAAAUACGUGCCAGCAGCCGCGGUAAUACGUAUGUCCCGAGCGUUAUCCGGAUUUAUUGGGCGUAAAGCGAGCGCAGACGGUUUAUUAAGUCUGAUGUGAAAGCCCGGAGCUCAACUCCGGAAUGGCAUUGGAAACUGGUUAACUUGAGUGCAGUAGAGGUAAGUGGAACUCCAUGUGUAGCGGUGGAAUGCGUAGAUAUAUGGAAGAACACCAGUGGCGAAGGCGGCUUACUGGACUGCAACUGACGUUGAGGCUCGAAAGUGUGGGUAGCAAACAGGAUUAGAUACCCUGGUAGUCCACACCGUAAACGAUGAACACUAGGUGUUAGGAGGUUUCCGCCUCUUAGUGCCGAAGCUAACGCAUUAAGUGUUCCGCCUGGGGAGUACGACCGCAAGGUUGAAACUCAAAGGAAUUGACGGGGACCCGCACAAGCGGUGGAGCAUGUGGUUUAAUUCGAAGCAACGCGAAGAACCUUACCAGGUCUUG
RNAcentral lists this ribosomal RNA (929 nucleotides) under Leuconostoc mesenteroides. RNAcentral's name for it is "bacterial SSU rRNA". It matches the Rfam family "Bacterial small subunit ribosomal RNA", at positions 70 to 983 of the family's 1533-position model. Lineage: Bacteria; Bacillati; Bacillota; Bacilli; Lactobacillales; Lactobacillaceae. The record is from RNAcentral.